GACGAACGCUGGCGGCGUGCUUAACACAUGCAAGUCGAACGGAAAGGCCCUGCUUGCAGGGUACUCGAGUGGCGAACGGGUGAGUAACACGUGGGUGAUCUGCCCUGCACUUCGGGAUAAGCUUGGGAAACUGGGUCUAAUACCGGAUAGGAGCCAUCUUUAGUGUGGUGGUUGGAAAGUUUUUUCGGUGUAGGAUGAGCUCGCGGCCUAUCAGCUUGUUGGUGGGGUAAUGGCCUACCAAGGCGGCGACGGGUAGCCGGCCUGAGAGGGUGUACGGCCACAUUGGGACUGAGAUACGGCCCAGACUCCUACGGGAGGCAGCAGUGGGGAAUAUUGCACAAUGGGCGCAAGCCUGAUGCAGCGACGCCGCGUGGGGGAUGAAGGCCUUCGGGUUGUAAACUCCUUUCGCUAGGGACGAAGCUUUUUGUGACGGUACCUAGAUAAGAAGCACCGGCUAACUACG
RNAcentral lists this ribosomal RNA (463 nucleotides) under uncultured bacterium. RNAcentral's name for it is "partial 16S ribosomal RNA". It matches the Rfam family "Bacterial small subunit ribosomal RNA", at positions 28 to 505 of the family's 1533-position model. The record is from RNAcentral.